Molecule: long non-coding RNA, 3543 nt
Filed under: Androctonus crassicauda
Lineage: Eukaryota; Metazoa; Arthropoda; Arachnida; Scorpiones; Buthidae
Source: RNAcentral
GAUGAACGAUAUAUAUAUAUAGUUUAUUCUUAGGUAUUCAGGAAAAAAAAAAAAAUAAUAAUAUUUUUGUCUUAAAUGUUACGUUUGUGACUUACAGGUGACGGUUGAAAGGGGGCGAAAAUAAAAAUUUAUAUCGCCUAAAAAAUCAGUCUGUCUUCCCAGGAUUAUUUGGAAUUCUAAGGAAUUCCUGAAAGAAUGCAUAUCUUAUUCGAUGCACAAUUUUUCAUCCGAAGUGAUAAUGAUAUAUCCGUUUUUUCCUCUCUCUCUCUCUCUCUCUCUCUUUCUCUCUACGUGGUAGAUCCUGUCCUAACAUAUCGAAGUGUGUAUAUAUAUACAGUAUAUAUAUAUAAAUAUAUAAAAUCCGUAUAGUCGGAUCAUAUUUUAAGAUUUUCUUGGGAUGUAGACUUCUCCCACUUAUCCACAAUUAGCCUUCUAAUAAGCGAAAUCGAGUCCGUAUUAACCGUAGAGUCGUCCGAUUGUUUUCCGUUUUACCAAUUUUGCCUUUUAUGGUAUGUGAUGACAUAGUGCAUCUCCCUCGGGGAUAUUUGAAUUAUCGAUCGAUUUUUCGCAGCUAGUUCCCGCAUCGAUGUUGCCUUACUACAUUUCUGUGACACUUCUUCAUCACGUGCUGUAAAUGUGUGUCGGAAAAGGCUGAAAAAUUGCCAGUUAUCACACUUUAUGUAAUAAAGUUGUCUGGUUAUGCAGUUGUUCUUGUCUCAUUCAUCAUCCGCAUCAUUUGGCGAGAGAACCGAUCCAUAGUUUUUUUUUUCGGUAACCGUAUAAAAUUCUCAUUAAAAGCGCUUUAGUUGCAUACCAGUAAUUGUAAUUCCGAUGCAUUCGAUUCGUCGAUUUUCCACUCAAUCGGUCUUCGUCUCCCAUAAUCCAGUGCGUUUAAAUACUGGCGCGGAAAAGUAAACUUGGUGGCGAUAAAAAGUAGCGAAUAAGGCUGUAUUUUGCAGAACUCUGUGUAUGCUAAAUUACCGUGGGAGGAAAAGCGUGACGGACUCUUACGCGAAAUUUUAAAAAUCGAAAAUUGCAACGCUAGUGACGCAUUUCCUUAACGAGUUUUAUAGCGAUUGCCGGGUAAUAACGUGUCGCGUAUGUGCGCGCGAUAUCAUCUGAAAUUCGGUUAAUUCUGUAUCUUGACUUUUUUUCCUCCCUCUAUUCGUUUCCAAUCAUUCUAGCUCCGCCAUGACGACUGGUAUUUAAAUUAGAAUAAAGCGUGUUGUUCAUCUUAUUGUGUUCGGUGCCGUAACUCGAGUCAGAUGCGUAAUGCCGUGGAUGGUAGACGAAAAAAAGAAAAAAAUGCACGUGGUUAUUAUUAGUAGGUGGCCAGGAAGUAAGAAAAAGCUGCGCUUGCAUAAAAUCGCAAUUUGCAUAAAAUGGAGCAAUAUUUUUCUUGAUUUCUCUAUCGCACGGUGACAAAAUGACAUUCUACUCUUCGAAAAUAUUUGGAAUCCGAUAUUGUAUUGACUCAGCCGUUAAACAGUUAAACACGUGUAUACAAUUAGAAUCUUAUCUUUAAUCUGGGAUCUUUAUCUUUUAUCUUUAACUUGUAUAUAAUUAGAAUUACUGUUCUAGGAUCAUCUAAUAACGAAAAUGGUGUCAUUCGAGUGGAUUUGCUACGUAGAGAAAAUUUUUACUUCCAGAGCUUUAGGUCAAAGAUAUUCGGUUUUCGAGAUAGAUACGAAAAUUUGUGUUUGGUUAGUAAGGGUACUUUUAGAGAUUAAUUAAACAUGGCAUUAGCGUCGAUUGUAGAUUUGUACAGAAAUUCGAAUAUGGGCUUGACACGACAUUAUCAUCCACAUCAAUCGGCCGGUAUAAUUGGUAAGAGUUGUACAACAGUAACACGCAAAAUUACUGAUCUAUUGUCACAGAGAGAAUGAGAUCUUUCUGUUACUGGAACGAAAGCGCUGAUCUGCAUUAUUUAUUGGGGAAUAAUCAUCAGUUCUUAAUACGAAAAUUAUUCGGCAUUUGUAUUUUUUGAUAUGAGAACCGCGCAUUUCGAUCACAUUCCGCCUAGAGUGAAUUUGAAUUUUAACAGAUACUGUACGUAUUUAUUACCUAUACAAAGGCGUAACGUUUAACUGACGAUCUUUGAGAUUAUAGUUAUUAUGCGAGUCCUUUCGAAUAAUAAUUUACGUCGGGUGUUUCAAGGUAACAACAUCGCUGUGGUGGUUACCUUACGACCACCCAACGUAACAUAUUAGCCAGAUUUUAAAUAACGUACUACGUUACUACGACGUGUGUUUAUCGGAUCAUGGCUAUUAUUCGUCGUAUCUUGCCAAAUAUAUGUUAUACAUUAUUGUAUGCAGUAUCUGCACUAGAGUUCUUAGCGCCCCGAGCGAAAUUUUUUGUUGCGCCCCCUUAAGUCGUCAAUUAAAAAAAAAAAUUCAUAAAAAAUAUCGCACUUUACAGUCCGUUCACCGUUGAAAUUGUGUAAAAAAACAAUUGUCUUACUUCGAUGAUGAUAAUGUUGAGCCGGCCCUGAUUGUACGAAACGACCACGACGCGUUAUAAAACGCAUAAUGAACGUUGAAAUUUUGGUAAUCUAUGCACUAGCGCUUGAAUAUAAAUUUUAAAACUCCGAUAAUGGCGUGGGUUUUGACCACUUAGAAAAAUCCUUAUACACAUACAACCAUCGAUGGAUACAACUCGUCUUACGCGAGAGAACGGUAGAAGAAACUUCUGGUCAGAAAACAUAGAAAAUCUCUCGUAUUUUUAAAAUUCAAGGUAGUAUUUUGGUUUUAAAAAAAUCGAUAAAGUAAUCGAAUUAAUUACUUUUUGUUUAAAUAGAAGUACAGCAGAUUAUUCUAUCUCGAUGACGUCAAUAUAUCUUUGGGGAAUAAACCAUUUAACGUUCCGUUAACCAGAAGAUGGCAGCCGUUUACCGGUUUAUUUGUUAUUUCUCUAGAAACUCUCGUCCGAAUCUCCAUCGGCCGGAAUUCCGGUCCGUAUUUUUAAGAUUUUUAACAAUUUAAUAAUCGUCGGCGCGAAAAUUAAUCGAUUAUAAAUCUUAGCUAUUAUUUUUUCUUCGGAUAAUAUGGUAUCGGGCUGGAAGCGGUAUCGUAAAUAAAAUCUCGGAUGUUGUCAUGGCGUAUGUACUCGUAUUAUGUGGGAUUUUUAUAUAUCAGACAUAAACCGGCGAUUUUCUGGGGUUUGUCUGACCGACCAGGCCGAAUAAUCGAAUGAUGUCCGAUUCGAAAACUUAUCGGAUAAACGAGUGGUUAAGCCGAGAAGCAGUAACGACAGUAUUGCGCAUGCGGUCGUCCUUCCCAAAUGGUAAAAGGAUUUUUUUUUUUUAGUAAAACGACUUAUCCAGUUAUUUUUUGUCUAUCAAACAUAACAGUACGAAUAUUAAUAUGUAUGUAUUUGUUUCUACACGCUUAUUAUUUUUCGUCACAGUUAUACGAGACACGCGCCGUCAGACGAUUUUAUGCAAAUUUAAACUCGUCUUCGAGUUCCAUUAAUGAUCGCGUAUUGCUAAUGAUAUGUGCGUUAGUUUCGAAUCUGAUUUUAUUGUGUGCAGUGUGUUAAUUAACU